UGGGAAUUAUGAAAAGCAGGUGGCUUUGUUGUAAUGGACAACCCUUCACGUUUUCCUGUGAAAUUUAAGAAUCGGAAAACAAUGAAAAGAAUAGUUGUGAAAUCUCCAUCAUGAGCUCUUGGAAAUGGUGAGUGCCACAGCAAACUGUUUGCAGUGAUUCUUGUACCUUUGGGAUUGGCUACCACUCAAUGUGGGUACGAAUAAAAGAGGCUGAGAGGCAUAAUGCUAAAUAAAUUGGCGCUAAAGCGAAUUUGGAGAACCUUUUUCUUUCAUCAGCAAAUGAAAAGGCUGACCUUUUUGCUAACACCAACGCUGACCUUUUGAGCGUUGACCUUUUUUACUCCCAAUGUUUAACCUACCCUAACGGCGAUAAAAGCUGACGUGACAAAUUCACAAUGCUUCUUUGAGUUUAUCAAGGUUAUGCCGCCAUCACUCUUCUCCUUCCAGUUUCGGAUACGGAAUCUGCCGCUGCGAGUGCCAUCCACCACUCUCGGAACAAUCCGUGUCAUGAACAACAACCGCCACCGCACUGCGGAUAGCAGAGUUGAAUCCAAUCCUCGCGUACAUAAACUCCAACAACUCGUUAACACCAAUGCUUCUGGUGGUUGGGAAGAGUCCUGGAAGCAGGGAGUCACCCCUUGGGAUUUAGGUCGCCCUACACCUGUUAUUUCACAUCUCCAUCACACAGGAUCCCUCCCCAUGGGCAGGGUUCUCGUCCCUGGAUGUGGCACUGGCUAUGAUGUGGUGGAGAUGGCAUGCCUUGGACGCUACGUUGUUGGACUGGACAUAUCCGAGGAGGCGAUAAAGAAAGCAAAGCAGAUGUCUUCCACGUUACCAAAUGCAGAUUAUUUUACCUUCAUAAAGGCAGAUUUUUUCACCUGGCACCCAACAGACUUGUUUGAUCUUAUUUUUGAUUAUACGUUUUUUUGUGCCAUUGAGCCAGAUAUGAGAUCAGCAUGGGCACAGCAAAUCAAAAAUUUCUUAAAACCAGAUGGAGAGCUUAUUACAUUGAUGUUUCCAAUGGAUGAUCAUGCUGGCGGACCCCCGUAUAAAGUAUCAAUUGCAGACUAUAAAGAGGUGUUGCACCCAAUGGGCUUUGAGGCAAUAUCCAUCGUUGAUAAUAAAUGGGCGAUUGAAGUUAGAAAGGUAUGUUAACAUGGUUUCAGUCAGUAGCUUUUCUGCAGUUCUGCACCCGGGUUGUUCCUUGGAUGUAUGCCAUAGUAAGACCAUAUCUAGCAGCUUGGAAGAGAGAAGCUUGGAAGAUGGAAAAGAGCUCUAGGUCAGUCGUCCCUGUGAUAACGAUGGUUGGCUAUUGAGAAGCGGGUGCUUGAGUUAGGAGAAUGAUCGAUUUCAUUCACACAGUUUAUAUGAAAUUGGAAGACAUACGGAUGAUACAUGUUAUGUGAUAUUUGAUGUCCUUCUUUUACCUUUAAAUAAAAGGGAAAAAAAAGAAAAAGGCAUUUGUUUUAGGUACCGAAAUCACCAGUUAAAGUGUUGCAUGCUGAGUAAAUUAAUUGUCGUUGGAUUU
Non-coding RNA from Theobroma cacao (cacao), 1528 nucleotides. The record is from RefSeq and is a predicted model, not a curated record. Lineage: Eukaryota; Viridiplantae; Streptophyta; Magnoliopsida; Malvales; Malvaceae.